AUGCCUUUUUCAACAGCACAUAUACUAAAAUUGGAAUAAUAAAGAGAAGAUUAGCAUAGCCCCUGUGCAAGGAUGACAUGCAAAUUUAUGAAGCAUUCCAUAUUCCU
This is a small nuclear RNA of Choloepus hoffmanni (Hoffmann's two-fingered sloth), 107 nucleotides long. The record is from Ensembl. NCBI's taxonomy places the organism in Eukaryota, Metazoa, Chordata, Mammalia, Pilosa, Megalonychidae.